UACGUAGGGGGCGAGCGUUGUCCGGAAUUAUUGGGCGUAAAGGGCACGCAGGCGGUUUGCCAAGUUCGAAGUGACAAUCAACGGCUUAACCGGUGAACGACUUCGAAAACUGGCGGACUUGAGAGCGAGAGAGGGACAUGGAACUCCGGGUGGAGCAGUGAAAUGCGUAGAGAUCCGGAGGAACACCAAGGCGAAGGCAGUGUCCUGGCUCGUUUCUGACGCUGAGGUGCGAAAGCCAGGGGAGCGAACGGG
This 252-nucleotide ribosomal RNA is filed under the name uncultured bacterium. Its description in RNAcentral is "partial 16S ribosomal RNA". It matches the Rfam family "Bacterial small subunit ribosomal RNA", at positions 524 to 776 of the family's 1533-position model. The record is from RNAcentral.